AUCUGGAAAGGAAUCAAGAAUGAGAAAAGCCACAGAUGAGAAAAUGCCAAAGAGUAAGACGUUGGGGUAAAGGAGAGAGGUAAUGGGACUUCCUUUUAUUCGGUGGCCAGAGGUGACACACGGAAGGGAAUUAUUUGGAAGAGAAUACCUGACGUAUCUUUUGUACAAAGCAUUGUGGGGAUACGCCUGACCAAUGGCCCCCAGCGGCUUCUGGCUUUCUCACAGAGCUUUGUAAAGAGGAAGUGAGAGUCCUGCACCAGUCGGGACGGAUUCCUGAUGUUCAGAGCAACGAUGUGGACCCUGGUUGAGUUGGGGGCUCCCUCUGGGCAAGGGCAGCCACUGGCCUUGCAGCAGGGUACCAAGGACCUUGUUUGGGUCUCCCCAGAAUCAUAGAAAGCCAUAUUUUCAUCCCUUGUUGCUCUCCUCCUCCCACAAAUUUAACAGUAAUAAUCCUCAUGAAAAUAGGGCUUAUCUUAAUACAAGCUUUAUAGUUUAUAAAUUGAUGCUUUCAACAACCCUGAGAGAAAGACAGGGUAGAUAAUGUUAGUGAAUCUCUGGGGUUAAGGUCAUACUGCUAGUAAGCGGCUGAAAUAAAAAUAGAAACCAGAUCUUGUAACUUUUCACUUUUUUCAGCUACGCCACACUGUAGUCUGGGAGCCGAAGCUAAAUGGGACUCAUCUAAACCAACCCCCCCUUUUACAGAUGAAGCAGCUGAGGCAGCAGCCUGGUAAAGUGGAAAGAACCCAGAUACCGCAGCACAGAUAUUUUAAGACAAAACAUGGCCACCGCAUCCCACAGAUGAAUGAUCUUGUGUGUGUGCAGAGGAGCACCAUGUGUUGAACGGAGCCUACAGAGAAAAGCAUGCAAUAGCCCUGGUGUUUGUCAGAUGAACACAUGGACCAGAAUAACCAGGACUGUGACGGAUGCCCCACAGGAGUGCCUGAUCUCUUUCUAGAGAAGCCCUAAAAGACAGAGAAGGACUUGCUCCCAGGAAGUCUGAGGCAUGGUCCAAAGUGGCCCGCAACAAAUGGGAAGUUUCACUGAAGCUUCUUGUCUUCGUUUCGGUUUUUCCUAAGCUUUUUGAUUUGUUUUAUUUUAUUAUAGUAUAGUUCACCCACAGUGUCACGUUAGUCCCAGAUAUACAGCAGUGGUUGAGCAGCUCUGCAUUAUGCUGUAUGCUCAUCUCAGGUGUAGGCGCCAUCUGUCCCCAUGCAUCGCUGUUACACUGCCACUGACCGUGUUCCCUGUGCUGUACCUUUUAUCCUCGUGACUUACGCAUUCAGUAACUGGAAGCCCGGAUCGCCCCCCCCACCCCCCCCCGCCCACUGCCCCUUCACCCAUUUUGUCCAGCCCCUCACUCCCUUCCCCUCUGG
This is a long non-coding RNA of Prionailurus viverrinus (fishing cat), 1373 nucleotides long. RefSeq lists it as uncharacterized. Lineage: Eukaryota; Metazoa; Chordata; Mammalia; Carnivora; Felidae. The record is from RefSeq and is a predicted model, not a curated record. The transcript has 3 exons.